UCAGUGUCACGUGAAAGCAGGGUUGAAACUUACAGGCAAAUCAGGGGGAGAAAAUAGAAAUGCAUUUGGGCUUUUGUGUCUCUUUCCUUUCCUUGUAGGACGUGUGCCGCACUAGUUCCUGCCCCUCUCCCAUGGUCACCUGUUUGCUAAAGUCAAUACGUACACAAAAUCCUAUAAAAAAAUUUUUUUUUUUUUUGGGUUUACGUACUUUUAGCUUUUUAACGUGUUUACAAAUCAAUAGUAAUCUGUGGUUUUACAAAUCAAUAAUAGGUUCUGAUUGACAUUAUUAAUUAUGCUCCAAAUUCGCUGCAGGUGCUGGAAAAGUUACCUAAAUAGUGCUUGUGCGGGCAAGAUGACAGAGCCGAGAGUUGUCCCCGUCGAGCUUCUUGCCUGCGACCACAAGGGGAAAUAGAAGGCACCAGGUCCAGCCUCGAGAUUCUCUCAAAAUGACUUUUGUUUGGGAGUCUAGAUGAGAUAGGAGGCAGAUAAGAAUUUGUUACUUUUGAUUGUGAAAAUGGGAGGCGUUUAUAGUCCAAAGUAUUAGUACGGAUUUCGGAAAAUCAGGGUGAUUGAUAGCCAUAUCGGCCCUUAGACGUAAUUUCGGAUUGCUAUCACAUCAAGCGGCUGAAUAAUGUGUCAACCACAAUAUGACUAGAUGUGCAGCUCCACCAUGUCGAGACCAAAAAUGAUAUGGGAUAGCCAGCUUUGAGAAACAGGGUAUUUGUUAGUCGAGGUGGUGGCCAAGGCCUCGCAGCACUAAAUUUUUCUUCUUCCUCUAAGCUAUAAGUUAUGACUUUAGGAUGAUGCAGAGACAUAGAUAGAACUACGG
This 829-nucleotide long non-coding RNA is filed under the name Coffea arabica (coffee). Its description in RNAcentral is "long non-coding RNA (CARA_LNC005187)". Lineage: Eukaryota; Viridiplantae; Streptophyta; Magnoliopsida; Gentianales; Rubiaceae. The record is from RNAcentral.